This is a long non-coding RNA of Perca flavescens (yellow perch), 387 nucleotides long. RefSeq lists it as uncharacterized. NCBI's taxonomy places the organism in Eukaryota, Metazoa, Chordata, Actinopteri, Perciformes, Percidae. The transcript is spliced from 4 exons. The record is from RefSeq and is a predicted model, not a curated record.
CAGUAAAAUAGCGUGUUGUAUUUAAAAAAAAAAACGACCGGUCUCCCGCCCAAAAGUAGCAGCCCUUCCUUUGUUCCGGUCUGGUCUUACCCGGCCACUGUAUCUUAUGAUAGUAACACAGCAGCUGAGCAACUAAAGGCGACGGAAGACUUAGUUACAUUGUAUUUGACGCCUGAGGACGAUUUCACACAGUCACCCCCAUGGAGCAGAUACGUAUGUCCACACAAGCCUACGAAGAGAUCUAGGAAGAGAUCUAUUGAGCCUGUGAAGCCAUACACGACCGGUCUCCCGCCCAAAAGAAGAAGCCCUUCCUUUGUUCCAGACACGCCUUACCCAGACACUGUAUCGGGUGUUCCUAACACCACUGCAGAGCAGCUAACGGCACGC